ACCUGGUUGGCUCAGUCAGUAGAGCAUGUGACUCUUGAUCUUGGGGUUGUAAGUUCAAACCCUAUGUUGGGUA
This 73-nucleotide transfer RNA is filed under the name Canis lupus familiaris (dog). It matches the Rfam family "tRNA". Rfam says of the family: Transfer RNA (tRNA) molecules are approximately 80 nucleotides in length. Their secondary structure includes four short double-helical elements and three loops (D, anti-codon, and T loops). RNAcentral also lists the same sequence under 1 other name. The record is from Rfam by way of RNAcentral. Lineage: Eukaryota; Metazoa; Chordata; Mammalia; Carnivora; Canidae.